Molecule: ribosomal RNA, 465 nt
Filed under: uncultured bacterium
Lineage: Bacteria
Description: partial 16S ribosomal RNA
Rfam family: Bacterial small subunit ribosomal RNA
Source: RNAcentral
CCUACGGGAGGCAGCAGUGGGGAAUAUUGCGCAAUGGGCGAAAGCCUGACGCAGCGACGCCGCGUGAGGGAUGAAGGUCUUCGGAUCGUAAACCUCUGUCAGCAGGGAAGAACGGUCACUGUGCUAAUCAGCAGUGAAUUGACGGUACCUGCAAAGGACGCACCGGCUAACACCGUGCCAGCAGCCGCGGUAAUACAGAGGGGGCGAGCGUUGAUCGGAAUUGCUGGGCGUAAAGCGCUCGUAGGCGGUAUGUCAAGUCAAGGGUGAAAUCCCCGCGCUCAACGUGGGAACUGCCUUUGAAACUGGCAAACUGGAGUGUGUGAAAGGAUAGUGGAAUUCCAGGUGUAGGAGUGAAAUCCGUAGAUAUCUGGAGGAACAUCAGUGGCGAAGGCGACUAUCUGGCACAUAACUGACGCUGAGGAGCGAAAGCGUGGGUAGCAAACAGGAUUAGAUACCCCUGUAGUC